Molecule: small RNA, 27 nt
Filed under: Plasmodium falciparum 3D7
Lineage: Eukaryota; Apicomplexa; Aconoidasida; Haemosporida; Plasmodiidae
Description: Pfa-npcR6584
Source: RNAcentral
ACAACUCAAUAUGAAAAAAACACACGU